This 538-nucleotide ribosomal RNA is filed under the name uncultured bacterium. Its description in RNAcentral is "bacterial SSU rRNA". It matches the Rfam family "Bacterial small subunit ribosomal RNA", at positions 974 to 1509 of the family's 1533-position model. The record is from RNAcentral.
CCUGGCCUUGACAUACUAAGAACUUUCCAGAGAUGGAUUGGUGCCUUCGGGAACUUAGAUACAGGUGCUGCAUGGCUGUCGUCAGCUCGUGUCGUGAGAUGUUCGGGUUAAGUCCCGCAACGAGCGCAACCCUUUUCCUUAUUUGCCAGCGGGUUAAGCCGGGAACUUUAAGGAUACUGCCAGUGACAAACUGGAGGAAGGCGGGGACGACGUCAAGUCAUCAUGGCCCUUACGGCCAGGGCUACACACGUGCUACAAUGGUCGGUACAAAGGGUUGCUACCUCGCGAGAGGAUGCUAAUCUCAAAAAAGCCGAUCGUAGUCCGGAUCGCAGUCUGCAACUCGACUGCGUGAAGUCGGAAUCGCUAGUAAUCGCGGAUCAGAAUGCCGCGGUGAAUACGUUCCCGGGCCUUGUACACACCGCCCGUCACACCAUGGGAGUUUGUUGCACCAGAAGUAGGUAGUCUAACCGCAAGGAGGACGCUUACCACGGUGUGGCCGAUGACUGGGGUGAAGUCGUAACAAGGUAGGCGUAGAUGA